This 236-nucleotide non-coding RNA is filed under the name Bacillota bacterium. RNAcentral describes it as "Firmicutes bacterium T-box sequence". It matches the Rfam family "T-box leader". Rfam says of the family: Uncharged tRNA acts as the effector for transcription antitermination of genes in the T-box leader family. T-boxes are found upstream of many aminoacyl-tRNA synthetase genes and some amino acid biosynthetic genes usually in Gram-positive bacteria. The anticodon of a specific tRNA base pairs to a specifier sequence within the T-box motif, and the NCCA acceptor tail of the tRNA base pairs to a conserved bulge in the T-box antiterminator hairpin. The record is from RNAcentral. Lineage: Bacteria; Bacillati; Bacillota.
GUAAAUGCGAUGAAGGGGAAAAAGACAGCUUCCUUCCAGUCAGAGAGCCGGCGGGCGGUGCGAGCCGGUGUGGGGCGGGCUGUGGAUAACUGGCCCCCGAGCAGUCCGCCUGAAGGCUCAGUAGGGCGGGACGUGCGGCCCCGUUACCGGCCAGAGCCUUGCUGGAGGCUGUGAGGGCGGAUGGGCGACCAUUCGCUGAACCAGGGUGGUACCGCGUAGUAUGUUACGCCCCUGAC